RNAcentral lists this transfer RNA (76 nucleotides) under Acidimicrobiaceae bacterium. Its description in RNAcentral is "tRNA-Thr". It matches the Rfam family "tRNA". Rfam says of the family: Transfer RNA (tRNA) molecules are approximately 80 nucleotides in length. Their secondary structure includes four short double-helical elements and three loops (D, anti-codon, and T loops). Lineage: Bacteria; Bacillati; Actinomycetota; Acidimicrobiia; Acidimicrobiales; Acidimicrobiaceae. The record is from RNAcentral.
GCCUGGGUAGCUCAGCUGGUAGAGCAGCUCAUUCGUAAUGAGCAGGUCAGGGGUUCGAAUCCCCUCCCAGGCUCCA